UACGUAGGGGGCAAGCGUUGUCCGGAAUUAUUGGGCGUAAAGAGCGUGUAGGCGGCCAGAUAAGUCCGCUGUGAAAUCUCGAGGCUCAACUUCGAGCUGUCGGUGGAAACUAUCUGGCUAGAGUCCGGAAGAGGAGAAUGGAAUUCCUGGUGUAGCGGUGAAAUGCGCAGAUAUCAGGAAGAACACCGACGGCGAAGGCAGCUCGCUGGGACGGUACUGACGCUGAGGCGCGAAAGCGUGGGGAGCGAACAGG
RNAcentral lists this ribosomal RNA (253 nucleotides) under uncultured bacterium. RNAcentral describes it as "partial 16S ribosomal RNA". It matches the Rfam family "Bacterial small subunit ribosomal RNA", at positions 524 to 776 of the family's 1533-position model. The record is from RNAcentral.